GUGCUUGCUUUGGCAGCACAUACACUAAAAUUGGAGUGAUACAGAGAAGAUUAGCAUGGUCCCUACGCAAGGAUGACAUGGAAAUUCGUGAAGCAUUCCAUAUUUUU
This 107-nucleotide small nuclear RNA is filed under the name Moschus moschiferus (Siberian musk deer). Lineage: Eukaryota; Metazoa; Chordata; Mammalia; Artiodactyla; Moschidae. The record is from RNAcentral.